ACAAGAUCUUUCUUAGUACUACCUAACACACAUUACUGAGAAACUUGGCAGUUUGAUGACAACCUACUAAUCAAACAGUGCCAUAUGCCUGGAAAGAUUUUAGCCCCUACUUAAAACAUAUUAUCCAAGAGGAAUAUUAAAAUUUUAAUAACAACAUUAAAUAUGGCCUAAGAGAAAGCGCAUUACUGUCCUUGUAUGUUUUGAUAC
Molecule: long non-coding RNA, 207 nt
Filed under: Homo sapiens (human)
Lineage: Eukaryota; Metazoa; Chordata; Mammalia; Primates; Hominidae
Description: non-protein coding lnc-GCA-7:1
Source: RNAcentral